This 505-nucleotide ribosomal RNA is filed under the name Phylloporia weberiana. Its description in RNAcentral is "partial small subunit ribosomal RNA". It matches the Rfam family "Bacterial small subunit ribosomal RNA", at positions 409 to 948 of the family's 1533-position model. The record is from RNAcentral. Lineage: Eukaryota; Fungi; Basidiomycota; Agaricomycetes; Hymenochaetales; Hymenochaetaceae.
UCAUAGAAUUUUUAAAAAUUCAUGAUGUCGUAAGGGAAAAUAAUGAUAAUACCUUACUAUGAGUGUCGUCCAAAUCUGGUGCCAGAAGACUCGGUAAGACCAGAGACGCAAACGUUAAUCAUCAUAAACAGGCGUAAAGGGUUUGUAGGCAGCUUUUAUAGGAUUAUUAUAAAAAGAUAAUCUAAAUUAAAAGCUAGAAUCAAAAAGAGGUUAUAGUGUAUAACGCCUAGAGGAGGGCUGAUAUCCGUAGAUCCUAGGCAGAAUACUCAGGGCGAAGGCCACUCUCCAUUAAUGAUUGACGCUGAGAAACGAAGGUUAGGGUAGGAAAUAGGAUUAGAUACCCCGGUACUCCUUUCUGUAAACGAUGAAUGGUAGUCAUUAGUAAAAAAAAAUAACUAGAGGCGAAGUUAACACAAUAACCAUUCCGCCUUGUGAGUACUACUGCAAAGUAGAAAACAAAAAAAUUAGUCGGUCUCGAAGCAAACGGAGUGAAGCAUGUUAUUUA